Long non-coding RNA from Girardinichthys multiradiatus, 1087 nucleotides. RefSeq lists it as uncharacterized. Lineage: Eukaryota; Metazoa; Chordata; Actinopteri; Cyprinodontiformes; Goodeidae. The transcript has 3 exons. The record is from RefSeq and is a predicted model, not a curated record.
AGAAACACAAAGAAUGAAGUGUAACAACUGUCUUCUAGCCCGAAGGUACUAGCCGGGUCAGGUUACCUCUAGAGUAACUGACAACAAAGACAUUUCUGCUGCUUAACCAUCAUCAAGUUUUUGUUCUCUCAACAUGGUUGGAGGAUUUCCAUCUUGUCCAACAUGCCUAAUACUACAGCUCUUUACAUCAGUUGUGGACUACUUUUUUACAUCCUAAUAUCAAUCUUCCGAGGAGCCAGACAUUCAGAUAUGAUGCGCAGAAAGGCACAUUGUAUGCAGCUUCAGCACUGGAUCCUCGCUUUAAGGCCCUUCCAUUCCUGUCUGCUGAAGAGCAAGAUGACACCUUCUCCAGACCGCAAACUGAGGCUGCCACUGCUGCGUGUGAUCAAAAUACUGAGGGUAUUGAUAUCGAUGAAGGAGCUGAGGAGAUGGGUGAAGCAACUUUGCCCAAGAAGCCUAAGAAAUCCAGCACCGUGGAGUCUCUCCUUGGGACAGUCUACUCACCAAUAGUAAAGAACCAUGGACAAACAAACUCCAGCAAUGAGGGCUGAAGAUGAAAUAAGAAGAUACAGGGCAGAAAACCCUGCUGGGCUGAAUGAGAAUCCUCUGAACUGGUGGAGGUCAAAUGAAAGAGAGUAUCCACUGUUGGCUCGAAUUGCUAAGCAAUACCUUUGUGUCCCAGGGACCAGUAUUUCGUCAGAGAGGGUGUUUUCCACUGCGGGUGAUAUUCUCACUGCAAAAAGGAGCUGCCUAACCCCGGAUCAUGUCAAUGAGCUGCUUUUCCUUCACAAGAAUCUCACAUUUAGUGAGAAGUGAGAACAAAGUCACAUUGACAGGUCUAGACAGUUUAAGUUUAUUUGUAGUUUUGUUACCAUUAUUAUUUAAUUUUGAACUUAAAGAAACAGUGCCCAAAUGCAGUUUGCAGUUAUGGAAACUUGUAGUUCCAAGUACAGUUUUACUUGCACUUCCUUUCUCAUUUCAAGUUUGCCCUUUUGAGACUUGACAGUUUUGUUUACAGUUCAAUUUUAAGCUGCCCAAUUUACAAGUUUGGACUUUCUGUUUUAUGUUUUGUUUACAGUGAAGAUAA